GACGAACGCUGGCGGCGUGCUUAACACAUGCAAGUCGAACGGAAAGGCCUCUUUCGUGGGGUACUCGCGUGGCGAACGGGUGAGUAACACAUGAGUAACCUGCCCUUUACUUUGGGAUAACUUCUGGAAACUGGGGCUAAUACCGGAUAGAAGCUCCUGCUGCAUGGUGGGGGUUGGAGAGUUUCGGCGGUUGGGGAUGGACUCGCGGCUUAUCAGCUUGUUGGUGGGGUAGUGGCUUACCAAGGCUUUGACGGGUAGCCGGCCUGAGAGGGUGACCGGCCACAUUGGGACUGGGAUACGGCCCAGACGCCUACGGGAGGCAGCAGUGGGGAAUAUUGCACAAUGGGUGGAAGCCGGAUGCAGCAACGCCGGGGGCGGGAGGACGGCCUUCGGGUUGGAAACCGCUUUCGCUCAUGACGAAGCUUUGUGUGACGGUAGUGGGUAAAGAAGCACCGGCUAACUACGUG
This 467-nucleotide ribosomal RNA is filed under the name uncultured bacterium. RNAcentral's name for it is "partial 16S ribosomal RNA". It matches the Rfam family "Bacterial small subunit ribosomal RNA", at positions 28 to 507 of the family's 1533-position model. The record is from RNAcentral.